Camellia sinensis is the source of this 3627-nucleotide non-coding RNA. NCBI's taxonomy places the organism in Eukaryota, Viridiplantae, Streptophyta, Magnoliopsida, Ericales, Theaceae. The record is from RefSeq and is a predicted model, not a curated record.
UAACAUAUACAUCUUCAGCCCCAACAUUAAUGAAAGCAACUGAUGGAAUAGAACUCUUACCAUCGAUGCUCCUCCAUUGCCGAUUUACAUCCUCACCCUUCUCGUCUCCGAUCUGUCCCUUCCCCCUCAAUCUUCCCACUGUUGAUCUACUUCACUUCACCAUUUUGAGCCCUAAUUUGAGAGAAAAUUCCUAUUUGAAGAGAAAGAAAAAAGGCUCUCUCUCUCUCUCUCUCUCUCUCUCAAAACCACUCUCAAAUCAUCAACUUCCAUCAUCUCUACAAGGCCCUUCGAUUUCCCUCAAAGCCCCUCUCCGACCCCAAUUUACAACGAUUCGGAUGUCAAGCCGAAGCCUCGGAAACAACUCAUCAAGAAGAACACGACGGCUGAGGAGGGCACUCCUGAUUAUCAGGGAAGAGGAUGAUGGGGAAGAAGGGAUUUUGUGAGGGAAAAGUCGGACUACGAUGAUUUCGAGGAUGGAAAGUGGAAGAAGUUUGAGAAAGAUGGUAUUGGUAGUAGUAGGAAGAGGGACAGACAUUGAGAAACACAUGUUCACUCUCUGCCCUCCUUGCUCUCUACCCUAGCUACUCCCUCUUCAGUGCCACCGCCGAAGACACAUGUUCACUCUAUUAUGUUUUUGUUUUUUUCAAACGAGAGUUGGUCCUAGAUUUAUUCAUUUAUUUAUUGUAAGAAACCGAAAUACUCUCAUUUCCUCAAUCCCCUUCAAACUCUCUCUAAUCCUCUCAGAUUUCGACGUUUAUUCUAUUCAAUUUAAUCUAAAUAGAGCUUCAAAAAUCCGAGACCGAAAUGGGAAUUCCAUCGACGAUGAGGGACGCUUGGGCAAACCAAAGAUAUUCGCUUUUGAUUGCUUCACCGACUGAGGAUCAAAAGAUUCUGAAUUCACGCCGGCACACUCAAGAGGGUGUUCGAGCAGGAGUGAAGACAGCUUCCAUUGCUUGUGUUGGCAGUGAUGUGCCUACUGUAUGUGAUCUUUAUCACUACUUUCUGUAUUCACUGUGUAUACAAUUUCUGGAUUUAUUUGGGACAUUUUACUGGUUUAUCAGUACACUUUCAAUGUGGGUAUUUGGCAUUCAUAACUGUUCAAUAACAAGAUUGAUCCACAUAAAAACCACCUAAUGGGUAGGUAUCAUUUGAGAUAGAAAACAAUCACUUGCUUUAGGAGGGCUGAGCGAGAAUUUUUGUUGAGAGAGACAAAGUUAUACACACAACUUUUUCCUAUUUGACAAUCUCAUAUUCAUUAUCUUAAAUGAAGAAAAUCCCAAAUAUAUGUGGCCAAUAUGGAAAUUCCGGGGGAGCAAGAACAAAAUUCCAUACAGGCAAAUCAAGUGGAAAAGUUGAGGAAAUUGAGCUUCCAGUUGCUCAAGUGGAUAUCAUUAUUUCAGAGUGGAUGGGAUAUUUUUUAUUGUUUGAGAAUAUGUUAAAUACUGUCCUCUAUGCUCGUGAUAAGUGACUUGUAAGUUACACUGCCCCUUUUUCUUUCUGAAUAACCACUUUGAUGCUAUUGCUAAUCUGGAUGUAUUAGUGCAAUGUUUGGUGGUGGAGUUAGUUUGUUUUUCUAUUUUUUUUGGUUUGUUUUGUGUUUUUAUUUUUUUUAUUUUUUAUUUAUUUUAUCAUGGAAGAUGUUAUUGGAGUUUAAUUGGUCUCAUCAGCUUGAAUUUAUUAUAAUUCGUUAGUCUUUAUAUUUUGAAAGUUCAACUCUUUGACUGGAUCAGACGCCUUUUCUGGGAUUUUCAGUGCUUUUGUUUAGAAACUUUAUGGUGGUGGAAGCAAAUUGAUUAAUUUAAUUUUUAUUGGAUUUAUAUGCUCAUAAAAGUUUCUAUUUACUUAUAAUGGGUUUUUUGGUUAAAGUCAUUUUAUUCUAAGAGGUCUAUAUUGAGUUGGGUUGUAAUUUUUUUAAGUUACAAUUUGAUUCGUUUGUUUAGGAAUUUUGUCUUGUUGGAGUUAAGUCGUAAAUAGAUUCUACAUCAAGUGGGAAAAUUUAUUUUUUACUCUUUUUGUUCUUCUUUAGGGUUUUCUAGCAUCUUCAUAAUGGAUAUUGGAUGUGAAAUGAGAUUUACGCAAGUCCUCAAUUGUUUUGGCCAAUUGUAGUAGAGUUCAAUGUCAGUUUUGUCUUGGUUAAUGACCGACUGUGGAACAAUGGAAUUGGUUUGAUUUGAGUGUGGUUUUUGGAUGAACCGUUGCUGAGCAUGGCUAUUUGUCACUAAAGAUGACAUCAAAGGCUUAUCUUGCUUCCAGGUUAAUUUGUUUCCUAUCCCAUAUAGUUCUUUCAAGUUUUUCUUUCUUGGUUUUAUGGUGAUGAGGCUAUUUUUAUACCAUUAAAUCAUGGUUGCUGACUUCUAGAAUUGUAUUGUACUUGUUGAGAAUCAAGGUUACUUUUGACUGAUGAUCACUUUGAACUCCAGCAGCUAGCUAAAGAAAUGUGGUAUGGAAAUACCAUGGUUGGUUAGUUCUGUUACAUUUUCUUUUAUGAAUUUCAUAUUGCCUCCAAUCUUAACUAAAUUAACCAAAUGUAUUCACCCUCUGCUUAAUAUGCAGAAAAAGCUUCGGCAGACUCGUGAAUUAUAUGCCUCCUUUAAUGCAAUGUUGGAGAUAAAAGACUUAAUGCUAAUGAAGACUUCUUUGUUAAACUCUAUAAACCCACCAAUUUGUACUCUAUCUUAAUCCCUAUUUCUAGUUUUGCUAGUUACAAUUCUUAUAGUCUAUCCUAGUCCUACUUAAAUCUAAACUUUUAGAUUUUGAAAUAUCUCUCCACAAUUUUAGCUUAAAGUUUUCUCAUUUUCUUGUUUCGUCAACUAAAUUUGUAUUGUCUGCAAAUUUUAUACACUGGAGAUAUCCUCUUUGAAUGCUCUUUUUAAGUUCAUCCAUUACUAUGUAUGUAAGUAUGUUGGAAAUAUUAUAUUUGUGAUAUGAUAUCUAUUAAACUAUAUGACACAAAAUGAGGUUUUUUUCAAAAUGUUUAAUAAGUCUACAUUUUGUAUGUGUGUAGAACAUUUUUAAAGAGGUUAUUGUCAGACGACAACAUUCUUUGUGAAAGCAAUUCACCCAUUGAAGCCACUGAUGUUUGACAAAAUGAAUAUCACAAUCAGCAUUUGCCUGAUAAGACGCGAGGUCUUUCAGAGUCAACUCCAGAAAUCUCAACUUGUGAAAGUGAAUUAUCUUAUUCAAGGUAUACCCCCUCCAUGUCUAGUAGGCAGCUUUUUCUAGAUAUGUAGCAGAACCAAUAUCUGGAAAAUAUCGUGUUUGUUUGGAUGGACAUCGAGAUUCAUUCCACUGCUCAAAUUUUUGGGACGUGAAUUGGCUUUCUUCAUCUAGAAAUUCACGUGAAGAAGAAACUUAUGAAAGAUUCGAGAUUUGAUAUGGACAUGUUUGGUAAUUUGGAGGGCAGACGGUAGCUCAUUUUGUGUUUUUGUUCAUAUUACCUUACAUGUAUUUUGGUUGUGUUGUAAAUUUUAUAUUUUUGUUGGUAUUACAAGGCAUGUUUGGUAAUUCGCCCUUGAUAUUUUAUAUUUUAUUUUUGUUGAUAUUAGUAGAUAUUUGUUGUUGGAUAUUAGGAGAUGUGUUUGGUAAUCCGCAUGCGGUUGAUAUUAUAUUUUUGUGGAUAUUAGUAGA